Molecule: ribosomal RNA, 466 nt
Filed under: uncultured bacterium
Lineage: Bacteria
Description: partial 16S ribosomal RNA
Rfam family: Bacterial small subunit ribosomal RNA
Source: RNAcentral
CUACGGGGAGGCUCCAGUGGGGAAUAUUGGACAAUGGGGGAAACCCUGAUCCAGCAAUGCCGCGUGUGUGAAGAAGGCCUGCGGGUUGUAAAGCACUUUCGGUUGGGAGGACUGCUUCUAGCACUAAUAUUGUUGGAAGUUGACGUUACCUUCAGAAGAAGCACCGGCUAACUCCGUGCCAGCAGCCGCGGUAAUACGGAGGGUGCAGCGGUUAAUAGGAAUUACUGGGCGUAAAGCGCGCGUAGGCGGCUAGAUCAAUCGGGUGUGAAAGCCCCGGGCUUAACCUGGGAACUGCAUCCGAUACUGUCUAGCUUGAGUACAGGAGAGGAGAGUGGAAUUCCACAUGUAGCGGUGAAAUGCGUAGAUAUGUGGAGGAACACCAAUGGCGAAGGCAGCUCUCUGGCCUGAUACUGACGCUGAGGUGCGAAAGCGUGGGGAGCAAACAGGAUUAGAUACCCGGGUAGUC